AUUUUCAGAUGAAUGGCAGCUUUUAAAUACCACCUUUCUCAUCAUAAUUGAAUGCUCAGUUCACACCUUGUUGUCACACAAUUACUAGAACCUUCCUCCGUUGCUGGGCAGCACCCUUUCUGAACUGCAGUUGCGGGUGAACAGCAGGGCCCUAGAGCAGCCCGCCCCCUGCUGAACCUCGACGGACUGGGCCCGAGCCCGCUCUGACAGGCCACCUCCUCUACGUCAGCCAACUACUGCGGAUGCCAAUCACAUCGACAGAGUGUCUUCACAGCGGCGCCCGGACGAGUGUCCAACCUGGGCAACGCGGCCCGGCCACACUGGCACGCAGAAUUAACCGUCACCGCUGGUCACGGGUGAGGCCCAUUUUCAAGACAGUUCACGUCUUGUGACUCCACAUCCGUUCUGCCUUGCCUGGGUUCCUCACAGGCUGAGAACAGCUGGUUCUUGCUGAAAGAAAUCACACGCGGGCCCAGGGAGCAGCCACGGUGGGUUCGAGCGUGCCAUACUCCGCGCUUGCGUUGACAGCUGCUCGUGUGACAGGGAGCCGUGGACUAGAGUGGGUGUUUCCAGUCUUGCAGAAGAGACAGUAAUGCAAAUAAAUACCCAUGGCAAGUAUUAUUGGUGUUGGAAAACGAGGAAAACAACUUCAAGAAUUUUACAUUAUAUAUUUGUUUACAUAUAUAAAAGAUUUGUAUGUCCAUGUCAAUGGACUUGGUUUUGUAUUGAAAGUCUAUUUUUUUUUUUUUUUUGAAAGCCUACGAUAGAAAGAAGAAACGGGCCGUUAGGGACUGAAUCAUGCCUCUCUCCUUUCUCCCACUCCCAGCCCAAUUUAUACGUCGAAGCCCUAAUACUCAGUACCUAAGAGGGUGCCUGUGUUUGGAGUCAGGGCCUUUAAAGCAGUAAGGUAAACUGAGGUUGUUGAGGUAGGCCUUAUCCAGUCUGAAUGGCAUCCUUGAAAGAAGGGGAGAUUCGGACACAGAAUCACGGACUGAGGGAGGACCAGGUGAGGACACAGCGAGGAGGUGGCCACCUGCAAGCCCAGGAGAGAGGCCCUGGGAGAAACCGAACCUGCCCACACCCUGAUCUUGGACUUCCGGCCUCCAGGAUUGUGAGAAAAUGAACAUCUGCUGUUCGAGCUGCCCGGGCUGUGGUCGUUGGCUGCGGCAGCCCCAGGAGCUAACACGUGGGCUCCUGUGGGUCUCCUCCCUGGGUGCUGGCCUCCUUUCCACACUCGUGUGCCACGGAAACGAGGACACCCAAGGGGUCACCUGUCCUCCACCUUUCAUCUUACAAAGGAAAAAGCUGGAAAAGUGAAUGCCAGCUAGAGUUGUUCAAGGCUGUCUGUCUGGAAUCACCGCCACCCUCCAGAAAGUACUUCGCAUUUUUUUCAUCGUCACCAGCCCUGCUCCAGAGGUUGCUGUAGUGGCUCAGGGUGUGGGUCCAUGUUAUGACAUACUGGAUUGGAGUCAUUGUCCCAUCGCCUGCUACCUGAAACACCUUGUGAGAGCCACUUUGGUUUCUGUGCCUUGGUUUCCCCCUCUGAGAAACCAGGAUAACAAUGAUAACUGUGUCGUAGGACAUUGUGAGGGGCUGGCAGGACGAUAUAGACACAGGGGCUACAACCACGCCUGGCAUACUAAGUGUUCCUAACUUUGAGGAGAUGAAGCCAGCCUGAGACGACUUUUUCCCUACUUCAUUGCACAGCUGAGCAAAGAGUUUCUUUGCUAGAAAACUGGUUGCCUUCGAUGCACAUUUCUUUAACUAGUUAGGGGGCAACAGCUCCCAGGGCAGAAACUGUAUUCAGAGAAAGUGUCUCAGCAGAGAAGAGAGUGCCACCGGCCGAGUAUGGCGUGUGGGUGAAGCUGGUGGGGCACAGACACACGAUGGCAGGAUGCGCUUCCCACCGAGGGGUGGGCUUUCUGGCUCUCCUGCUGAGAUCCAGAUGUGGUGACUGCUUGACCAUUACAACGUGGUGGAAAUGAUGGUGUGCCACUCUCUGGGCCCAGGCCUUAAGAAACGGGUGGCUUCCAUUUCCUGUUGGGAUGCUUGCUCUUAAAGCCCAGCCGCCAUGUGGUGAGGAAGCCCAAUGGCCCAUGGAGAGGCCCACGAGGAGAGGAGCCUCAGCCUCAGCCUCAACAACAACCCUGGCUGUGUCUUUAGUACACAGCCAGCGCCACCAACCUGCCAGGUACUCGGCUGGGCCAUAUUACAAAUGGAUUGUUGUUGUUCUAAACCACUAAGUUUUGAGGUGGUUUUUACACAGCAAUAAAUAACCGAUACAGGAAUGACACUGAGUCUGGAAGGCUCAAAAGCUUUUCGGAGGCCAAGUUCUCAAGCUAACAUUCUAUAGCAGAAGCCAGGAAUUUAGCUCAGUUUCACUUAAGACAAGACUGA
Non-coding RNA from Microcebus murinus (gray mouse lemur), 2397 nucleotides. NCBI's taxonomy places the organism in Eukaryota, Metazoa, Chordata, Mammalia, Primates, Cheirogaleidae. The record is from RefSeq and is a predicted model, not a curated record.